RNAcentral lists this ribosomal RNA (463 nucleotides) under uncultured bacterium. Its description in RNAcentral is "partial 16S ribosomal RNA". It matches the Rfam family "Bacterial small subunit ribosomal RNA", at positions 339 to 795 of the family's 1533-position model. The record is from RNAcentral.
CUACGGGGGGCUGCAGUGGGGAAUAUUGCACAAUGGGCGCAAGCCUGAUGCAGCCAUGCCGCGUGUAUGAAGAAGGCCUUCGGGUUGUAAAGUACUUUCAGCGGGGAGGAAGGGAGUAAAGUUAAUACCUUUGCUCAUUGACGUUACCCGCAGAAGAAGCACCGGCUAACUCCGUGCCAGCAGCCGCGGUAAUACGGAGGGUGCAAGCGUUAAUCGGAAUUACUGGGCGUAAAGCGCACGCAGGCGGUUUGUUAAGUCAGAUGUGAAAUCCCCGGGCUCAACCUGGGAACUGCAUCUGUACUGGCAAGGUUGAGUCUCGUAGAGGGGGGUAGAAUUCCAGGUGUAGCGGUGAAAUGCGUAGAGAUCUGGAGGAAUACCGGUGGCGAAGGCGGCCCCCUGGACGAAGACUGACGCUCAGGUGCGAAAGCGUGGGGAGCAAACAGGAUUAGAUACCCGCGUAGUC